This 548-nucleotide long non-coding RNA is filed under the name Homo sapiens (human). RNAcentral's name for it is "HSALNT0182840". Lineage: Eukaryota; Metazoa; Chordata; Mammalia; Primates; Hominidae. The record is from RNAcentral.
CUUGCUCGCUACUUUCUAGGGUCUUAAUAGUAGUCAAGAAAAGGGAUCUGAGAAAAGUACUCUUUCAGGAGGGACUAGAAAGAGAAGGGGGUGAUAUGUUACACAAAUUAAAGAAGGAUGUCUUAGGCAUUUAGUAAAAAUUCAGUGGUUCCCCGCUAUCCUCGGGGGAUGUGUUUUUUUGUUUUGUUUUGUUUUGUUUUUUUUUGAGAUGAAGUUUCAUUCUAUCGCCCAGGCUGGAGUGCAAUGGCACAAUUUUGGCUCACUGCAACCUCCACCUCCCAGGUUCAAGCUAUUCUCCUGCCUCAGCCUCCUGAGUAGCUGGGACUACAGGUGUGCGCCACCAUGCCCGACUAAUUUUUGUAUUUUGAGUAGAGAUGGGAGUUUCACCAUGUUGGCCAGGCUGGUCUCGAACUCCUGACCUGGUGAUUUGCCCGCCUUGGCCUCCCAAAGUGCUGGGAUUACAGGCGUGAGUCACCACACCUGGCCCAUGGUGGGGGAUAUGUUUUAAGACCCCCAGUUAAUGCCUGAAACCGCUGCUAGUACCAAAC